RNAcentral lists this ribosomal RNA (499 nucleotides) under uncultured bacterium. RNAcentral describes it as "partial 16S ribosomal RNA". It matches the Rfam family "Bacterial small subunit ribosomal RNA", at positions 28 to 507 of the family's 1533-position model. The record is from RNAcentral.
GACGAACGCUGGCGGCGUGCCUAAUACAUGCAAGUCGAGCGGACUGAAUGGGAGCUUGCUCUUGUUCGGUCAGCGGCGGACGGGUGAGUAACACGUGGGCAACCUGCCCGCAAGACCGGGAUAACUCCGGGAAACCGGAGCUAAUACCGGAUAACACCGAAGACCGCAUGGUCUUUGGUUGAAAGGCGGCGCAAGCUGCCACUUGCGGAUGGGCCCGCGGCGCAUUAGCUAGUUGGUGAGGUAACGGCUCACCAAGGCGACGAUGCGUAGCCGGCCUGAGAGGGUGACCGGCCACACUGGGACUGAGACACGGCCCAGACUCCCACGGGAGGCAGCAGUAGGGAAUCUUCCGCAAUGGGCGAAAGCCUGACGGAGCGACGCCGCGUGAGCGAAGAAGGCCUUCGGGUCGUAAAGCUCUGUUGUGAGGGACGAAGGAGCGCCGUUUGAAGAAGGCGGCGCGGUGACGGUACCUCACGAGGAAGCCCCGGCUAACUACGUG